ACAGGCACAGCCGGUUUGAGC
RNAcentral lists this microRNA (21 nucleotides) under Macaca mulatta (Rhesus monkey). RNAcentral describes it as "Mml-Mir-6715_5p* (star (passenger))". Lineage: Eukaryota; Metazoa; Chordata; Mammalia; Primates; Cercopithecidae. The record is from RNAcentral.